GAAUGGUUGGGAUAGCUCAUUUGGUAGAGCAGAGGACUGAAAAUC
This 45-nucleotide transfer RNA is filed under the name Burchardia multiflora. RNAcentral's name for it is "partial tRNA-Phe". Lineage: Eukaryota; Viridiplantae; Streptophyta; Magnoliopsida; Liliales; Colchicaceae. The record is from RNAcentral.